This 71-nucleotide transfer RNA is filed under the name Loxodonta africana (African savanna elephant). It matches the Rfam family "tRNA". From Rfam's summary of the family: Transfer RNA (tRNA) molecules are approximately 80 nucleotides in length. The record is from Rfam by way of RNAcentral. Lineage: Eukaryota; Metazoa; Chordata; Mammalia; Proboscidea; Elephantidae.
GCAUCAGUGGUUUGGUGGUAAAAUUCUUGCCUUCCAUGCAGGAAACCCAGGUUCAAUUCCUGGGCAAUGCA